This 788-nucleotide ribosomal RNA is filed under the name uncultured eukaryote. Its description in RNAcentral is "SSU rRNA". It matches the Rfam family "Eukaryotic small subunit ribosomal RNA", at positions 71 to 875 of the family's 1831-position model. The record is from RNAcentral.
GUGUUAUACAGCGAAACUGCGAAUGGCUCAUUAAAACAGUUAUAGUUUAUUUGAUAAUCGAAUUUACAUGGAUAACCGUGGUAAUUCUAGAGCUAAUACAUGCUGGUAGGCCCGACUUUUGCGGAAGGGCGGUAUUUAUUAGAUAACAAGCCAAUAUUCCUCUGGUUUAUUGUGGUGACUCAUAAUAACUGAUCGAAUCGCAAGGCCUUUGGCCGCGAUAGGUCAUUCAAGUUUCUGCCCCAUCAGCUUUCGAUGGUAGUGUAUUGGACUACCAUGGCGUUUACGGGUAACGGAGGAUUAGGGUUCGAUUCCGGGGAGGGAGCCUGAGAAACGGCUACCACAUCUAAGGAAGGCAGCAGGCGCGUAAAUUACCCAAUCCUGACUCAGGGAGGUAGUGACAAGAAAUAACGGACCGAGGCCUUCGGGCUUCGGGAUUGGAAUGAGCCGAAUUUACACCCCUUAGCGAAGAUCGAUUGGAGGGCAAGUCUGGUGCCAGCAGCCGCGGUAAUUCCAGCUCCAAUAGCGUAUAUUAAAGUUGUUGCAGUUAAAAAGCUCGUAGUUGGAUUUCUGGGAGGGUGCCGAUGUCCACUUAACGUGUGCGCAGCGGCGCCCUCUCAUCCUUCUGUUAGCGUCUCUUGGCAUUCAUUUGCUGGUGGCGGGCUCAGAUAUUUUACCUUGAGAAAAUUAGAGUGUUUCAGGCAGGCUAGGCCGGAGUACAUUAGCAUGGAAUAAUGGAAUAGGACUACGGUCUCUUUGUUGGUUUGAGGGACUGCAGUAAUGAUUAAUAG